Molecule: ribosomal RNA, 1210 nt
Filed under: Bacillus sp. (in: firmicutes)
Lineage: Bacteria; Bacillati; Bacillota; Bacilli; Caryophanales; Bacillaceae
Description: bacterial SSU rRNA
Rfam family: Bacterial small subunit ribosomal RNA
Source: RNAcentral
AAACCGGAGCUAAUACCGGAUAGUUCCUUGAACCGCAUGGUUCAAGGAUGAAAGACGGUUUCGGCUGUCACUUACAGAUGGACCCGCGGCGCAUUAGCUAGUUGGUGAGGUAACGGCUCACCAAGGCGACGAUGCGUAGCCGACCUGAGAGGGUGAUCGGCCACACUGGGACUGAGACACGGCCCAGACUCCUACGGGAGGCAGCAGUAGGGAAUCUUCCGCAAUGGACGAAAGUCUGACGGAGCAACGCCGCGUGAGUGAUGAAGGUUUUCGGAUCGUAAAGCUCUGUUGUUAGGGAAGAACAAGUGCAAGAGUAACUGCUUGCACCUUGACGGUACCUAACCAGAAAGCCACGGCUAACUACGUGCCAGCAGCCGCGGUAAUACGUAGGUGGCAAGCGUUGUCCGGAAUUAUUGGGCGUAAAGGGCUCGCAGGCGGUUUCUUAAGUCUGAUGUGAAAGCCCCCGGCUCAACCGGGGAGGGUCAUUGGAAACUGGGAAACUUGAGUGCAGAAGAGGAGAGUGGAAUUCCACGUGUAGCGGUGAAAUGCGUAGAGAUGUGGAGGAACACCAGUGGCGAAGGCGACUCUCUGGUCUGUAACUGACGCUGAGGAGCGAAAGCGUGGGGAGCGAACAGGAUUAGAUACCCUGGUAGUCCACGCCGUAAACGAUGAGUGCUAAGUGUUAGGGGGUUUCCGCCCCUUAGUGCUGCAGCUAACGCAUUAAGCACUCCGCCUGGGGAGUACGGUCGCAAGACUGAAACUCAAAGGAAUUGACGGGGGCCCGCACAAGCGGUGGAGCAUGUGGUUUAAUUCGAAGCAACGCGAAGAACCUUACCAGGUCUUGACAUCCUCUGACAACCCUAGAGAUAGGGCUUUCCCUUCGGGGACAGAGUGACAGGUGGUGCAUGGUUGUCGUCAGCUCGUGUCGUGAGAUGUUGGGUUAAGUCCCGCAACGAGCGCAACCCUUGAUCUUAGUUGCCAGCAUUCAGUUGGGCACUCUAAGGUGACUGCCGGUGACAAACCGGAGGAAGGUGGGGAUGACGUCAAAUCAUCAUGCCCCUUAUGACCUGGGCUACACACGUGCUACAAUGGACAGAACAAAGGGCUGCGAGACCGCAAGGUUUAGCCAAUCCCACAAAUCUGUUCUCAGUUCGGAUCGCAGUCUGCAACUCGACUGCGUGAAGCUGGAAUCGCUAGUAAUCGCGGAUCA